Molecule: ribosomal RNA, 668 nt
Filed under: uncultured bacterium
Lineage: Bacteria
Description: bacterial SSU rRNA
Rfam family: Bacterial small subunit ribosomal RNA
Source: RNAcentral
AGUCGAGCGACGCAUAUCGGAGGGGUAACCCACUGGUAUGACGGAGCGGCGAACGGGUGAGUAACACGUGAGCAACCUGCCCCGAAGACUGGGAUAGCCCGAGGAAACUCGGAUUAAUACCGGAUACCCUCUCAGAAUCACAUGGUUCUGCGAAGAAAGGCUCCGGCGCUUCGGGAUGGGCUCGCGACCUAUCAGCUAGUUGGUGAGGUAACAGCCCACCAAGGCAAUGACGGGUAGCUGGUCUGAGAGGACGAUCAGCCACACUGGGACUGAGACACGGCCCAGACUCCUACGGGAGGCAGCAGCAGGGAAUUUUGCACAAUGGGCGCAAGCCUGAUGCAGCAACGCCGCGUGGGGGAUGAAGGCCUUCGGGUUGUAAACCCCUUUCAGGAGGGACGAAAUUGACGGUACCUCCAGAAGAAGCCCCGGCCAACUACGUGCCAGCAGCCGCGGUAAUACGUAGGGGGCAAGCGUUGUCCGGAUUUAUUGGGCGUAAAGAGCUCGUAGGCGGCUCAACAAGUCGGUCGUGAAAACCCGGGGCUCAACCCCGGGCCGGCGGUCGAUACUGCUGUGGCUAGAGUCCGGUAGAGGAGAGUGGAAUUCCCGGUGUAGCGGUGAAAUGCGCAGAUAUCGGGAGGAACACCAGUAGCGAAGCGGCUCUCUGGCCG